This 509-nucleotide ribosomal RNA is filed under the name uncultured bacterium. RNAcentral's name for it is "bacterial SSU rRNA". It matches the Rfam family "Bacterial small subunit ribosomal RNA", at positions 29 to 518 of the family's 1533-position model. The record is from RNAcentral.
AUGAAUGCUGGCGGCGUGCCUAAUACAUGCAAGUCGAGCGGUAACAGGGCUUCACGUUCCUGACACACUGGCCAACGAGCAAGUGGAGAGAUUCGAGGGAACAGUGAAGCUGCUGACGAGCGGCGGACGGCUGAGUAACGCGUGGGAACGGACCCCAAACUGAGGGAUAACGCACCGAAAGGUGUGCUAAUACCGCAUGUGAUCUUCGGAUUAAAGUCUUCGGACGGUUUGGGACUGGCCUGCGUACGAUUAGAUAGUUGGCGGGGUAAUAGCCCACCAAGUCGACGAUCGUUAGAUGGUUUGAGAAGAUGAUCAUCCAGACUGGGACUGAGACACGGCCCAGACUCCUACGGGAGGCAGCAGUAGGGAAUCUUUCACAAUGGGCGAAAGCCUGAUGGAGCAACGCCGCGUGCAGGAUGACGGCCUUCGGGUUGUAAACUGCUUUUAUAAGCGAGAAAUAUGAUGGUAACUUAUGAAUAAGGACCGGCUAACUACGUGCCAGCCGCCGC